Molecule: long non-coding RNA, 1002 nt
Filed under: Anas platyrhynchos (mallard)
Lineage: Eukaryota; Metazoa; Chordata; Aves; Anseriformes; Anatidae
Description: lncRNA (ENSAPLG00020003104.1)
Source: RNAcentral
AAAUUUUUUAAUUUAAUUAGUUUAGUUUUUUUAAUUUAAAUUCAAUUGAAUUCAAAGUUUUGAAUUUAAAUUCCAAUUCAAUUUAAAGGUUUUUUUUGUUGUUGUUUUUCACGAAACACUAAGUUUAUGUGAAAGGUUUUGCUGCAAUAUCUUUUUGCCAAGGAUAUUAAGCUUAAGUUAUCCACAAGAAAAUGGUGGGGAGAGGGAAGCUUUAGUUUUGAAAGUUUUUUUUUGUUUGUUUGUUUUUUUCCUCCAGGUUUUUCUUGAGCACAGCAGCGUUUCAGUGUCUGCCUGCCAUUAGUUGCCCCACUACCAAGUCAGGAGGGUUAACUAAACUUGCGUGAGGCAGAAUUUCUUUAUCUGAAUCUACGUGGUUCACAUAAAUAUUUUCUUAUUUCCUUCUUUCCCUAGGAUUAUUCUUCUACCAGUAUUGAAUGUUUCAACGGACACCGUUUAAGAUCAAUGAGAAAAAGCAUCCUGCGGUGUUCGGUCUCCAGCUUUGAAGAAAGUAUGGCGAUACUGAGGGGAACUGUCAACAGAAGACGCUUUUCAAGGCAGUUGAGAAAGCCGAAAUUGGAACAAAAAAAAGAAUAUAACACAGGCAAGUGGCUGUAACUCCCCGGGAUACCGAUUUAUGCUGGUUACUGAAGAGGAUGGCACUUGGUCACUCCAUCGCUUUCAUUUGGCCCCAAAGCCUUCUGUAGUCAGCUGAAUUCACUCAUCAGUGACUUUUCUGUGAAGAGAGUCACCAGAACAUUGAGGAGUAGAGCUGGUGCAAAAACUAUGAGACGAGUCCAUGGAGAAAACAGGGACUUGGAGCUGCGCCGCAGCUGUAGAGUCCGACGCAGUCGGUACUCUACUACUAACUCGUCCAUUCUAUUUGACAAACUUAUAACAAAUACUGCGGAAGUUGUGCUACAAAAAAUGGAUGAAAUGGAGCAGAUGCGUAGAUGCCAAAGAUGUUGGGAAGAUGUUGAGGAGAACCUUGAUAUCUUCACCUGA